UACAGAGGGUGCAAGCGCUGUUCGGAUUUACUGGGCGUAAAGCGUGCGUAGGCGGUAUUGAGAGUCGCAGGUGAAAUCCCAGGGCUUAACCCUGGAACUGCCCGCGAGACCUCAGUACUAGAGUGUGAGAGGGGAUAGUGGAAUACCAAGUGUAGCGGUGGAAUGCGUAGAGAUUUGGUGGAACACCGGUGGCGAAGGCGGCUAUCUGGCUCACAACUGACGCUCAGGCACGAAAGCAUGGGGAGCAAACAGG
This 253-nucleotide ribosomal RNA is filed under the name uncultured bacterium. RNAcentral describes it as "partial 16S ribosomal RNA". It matches the Rfam family "Bacterial small subunit ribosomal RNA", at positions 524 to 776 of the family's 1533-position model. The record is from RNAcentral.